UCUGGCGGCAACAGCGCGGUGGUCCCACCUGACCCCAUGCCGAACUCAGAAGUGAAACGCCGUAGCGCCGAUGGUAGUGUGGGGUCUCCCCAUGNNGCGAGAGUAGGGAACUGCCAGAC
RNAcentral lists this ribosomal RNA (119 nucleotides) under Hafnia paralvei. Lineage: Bacteria; Pseudomonadati; Pseudomonadota; Gammaproteobacteria; Enterobacterales; Hafniaceae. The record is from RNAcentral.